GAUCAUGGCUCAGGAUGAACGCUAGCGACAGGCUUAACACAUGCAAGUCGAGGGGCGAGCGGGGGGUAGGCGAUACCCGCCGGCGACCGGCGCACGGGUGAGUAACGCGUAUGCAACUUGCCUAUCAGAGGGGGAGUAACCCGGCGAAAGUCGGACUAAUACCGCAUGAAGCAGGGAUCCCGCAUGGGGAUAUUUGCUAAAGAUUCAUCGCUGAUAGAUAGGCAUGCGUUCCAUUAGG
Molecule: ribosomal RNA, 238 nt
Filed under: uncultured bacterium
Lineage: Bacteria
Description: partial 16S ribosomal RNA
Rfam family: Bacterial small subunit ribosomal RNA
Source: RNAcentral